UCUGGCAGCUAGCUCUCUGCAAAUCUCACAUUGUCGCCCACUGAAGCUGAGCAGGGCUGAGCCUGAUCAGUACCUGGAUGGGAGACCACAUGGAAAAGCUAGGUUGCUGCUAGUG
Molecule: ribosomal RNA, 115 nt
Organism: Danio rerio (zebrafish)
Lineage: Eukaryota; Metazoa; Chordata; Actinopteri; Cypriniformes; Danionidae
Source: Ensembl